GCCCUGAUAGCUCAGUCUGGCCAGAGCAAUCGCUUUGUACGCGAAAUGUCGCCGGUUCGAAUCCGGCUUGGGGCUC
This 76-nucleotide transfer RNA is filed under the name Mycobacteroides abscessus subsp. abscessus. Its description in RNAcentral is "tRNA-Thr(tgt)". It matches the Rfam family "tRNA". From Rfam's summary of the family: Transfer RNA (tRNA) molecules are approximately 80 nucleotides in length. Their secondary structure includes four short double-helical elements and three loops (D, anti-codon, and T loops). The record is from RNAcentral. Lineage: Bacteria; Bacillati; Actinomycetota; Actinomycetes; Mycobacteriales; Mycobacteriaceae.